RNAcentral lists this unclassified non-coding RNA (253 nucleotides) under uncultured Solirubrobacterales bacterium. RNAcentral describes it as "contains 16S-23S intergenic spacer region". It matches the Rfam family "Bacterial small subunit ribosomal RNA", at positions 524 to 776 of the family's 1533-position model. Lineage: Bacteria; Bacillati; Actinomycetota; Thermoleophilia; Solirubrobacterales. The record is from RNAcentral.
UACGUAGGUGGCAAGCGUUGUCCGGAAUCAUUGGGCGUAAAGCGCGUGUAGGCGGCCCGGAAAGUCUGGUGUGAAAACCUGAGGCUCAACCUCAGGCUGUCACUGGAUACUGUCGGGCUUGAAUCCGGAAGAGGAGAACGGAAUUCCUGGUAUAGCGGUGGAAUGCGCAGAUAUCAGGAGGAACACCAAUGGCGAAGGCAGUUCUCUGGUACGUGAUUGACGCUGAGACGCGAAAGCGUGGGGAGCAAACAGG